AGUGAACGCUGGCGGUAGGCCUAACACAUGCAAGUCGAACGGCAGCACAGUAAGAGCUUGCUCUUACGGGUGGCGAGUGGCGGACGGGUGAGGAAUACAUCGGAAUCUACUUUUUCGGGGGGGAUAACGUAGGGAAACUUACGCUAAUACCGCAUACGACCUACGGGUGAAAGCAGGGGAUCUUCGGACCUUGCGCGAUUGAAUGAGCCGAUGUCGGAUUAGCUAGUUGGCGGGGUAAAGGCCCACCAAGGCGACGAUCCGUAGCUGGUCUGAGAGGAUGAUCACCCACACUGGAACUGAGACACGGUCCAGACUCCUACGGGAGGCAGCAGUGGGGAAUAUUGGACAAUGGGCGCAAGCCUGAUCCAGCCAUACCGCGUGGGUGAAGAAGGCCUUCGGGUUGUAAAGCCCUUUUGUUGGGAAAGAAAAGCAGCAGGUUAAUACCCCGCUGUUCUGACGGUACCCAAAGAAUAAGCAGCGGCUAACUUCGUG
RNAcentral lists this ribosomal RNA (492 nucleotides) under uncultured bacterium. RNAcentral describes it as "partial 16S ribosomal RNA". It matches the Rfam family "Bacterial small subunit ribosomal RNA", at positions 29 to 507 of the family's 1533-position model. The record is from RNAcentral.